AUGCUUACUUGGCAGGGAGAUAUCAUGAUCAUGAAGGUGACUUUCCCAGGGCAAGUCUUCUUCACUGCAGUCCGGAUGUGCUGUCCCCUGUGAUUUCCCCAAAUGUGGGAAUUUCGACUACAUAAUUUGUGGUAGUGGGGGACUGGGUUAGGUCCAUGCCCUGA
This is a small nuclear RNA of Sorex fumeus (smoky shrew), 164 nucleotides long. RefSeq annotates it as U1 spliceosomal RNA. The record is from RefSeq and is a predicted model, not a curated record. NCBI's taxonomy places the organism in Eukaryota, Metazoa, Chordata, Mammalia, Eulipotyphla, Soricidae. The transcript has a single exon.